CCUACGGGAGGCUGCAGUGAGGAAUAUUGGUCAAUGGACGAGAGUCUGAACCAGCCAAGUAGCGUGAAGGAUGACUGCCCUAUGGGUUGUAAACUUCUUUUAUAAAGGAAUAAAACGAGGCACGUGUGCCUUUUUGCAUGUACUUUAUGAAUAAGGAUCGGCUAACUCCGUGCCAGCAGCCGCGGUAAUACGGAGGAUCCGAGCGUUAUCCGGAUUUAUUGGGUUUAAAGGGAGCGUAGAUGGGUUGUUAAGUAAGUUGUGAAAGGUUGCGGCUCAACCGUAAAAUUGCAAUUGAAACUGGCAGUCUUGAGUACAGUUGAGGUAAGCGGAAUUCGUGGUGUAGCGGUGAAAUGCUUAGAUAUCACGAAGAACCCCGAUUGCGAAGGCAGCUUACUAAACUGUGACUGACAUUGAUGCUCGAAAGUGUGGGUAUCAAACAGGAUUAGAUACCCGGGUAGUC
This 460-nucleotide ribosomal RNA is filed under the name uncultured bacterium. RNAcentral describes it as "partial 16S ribosomal RNA". It matches the Rfam family "Bacterial small subunit ribosomal RNA", at positions 338 to 795 of the family's 1533-position model. The record is from RNAcentral.